CACACUGCCGAGAAAAGCCUCUAGAUAGAAAAUAGGUGCCCGUACCGCAAACCGACACAGGUAGUCAAGAUGAGAAUUCUAAGGUGAGCGAGCGAACUCUCGUUAAGGAACUCGGCAAAAUGACCCCGUAACUUCGGGAGAAGGGGUGCUCUUUAGGGUUAACGCCCAGAAGAGCCGCAGUGAAUAGGCCCAAGCGACUGUUUAUCAAAAACACAGGUCUCUGCUAAACCGUAAGGUGAUGUAUAGGGGCUGACGCCUGCCCGGUGCUGGAAGGUUAAGAGGAGUGGUUAGCUUCUGCGAAGCUACGAAUCGAAGCCCCAGUAAACGGCGGCCGUAACUAUAACGGUCCUAAGGUAGCGAAAUUCCUUGUCGGGUAAGUUCCGACCCGCACGAAAGGCGUAACGAUUUGGGCACUGUCUCAACGAGAGACUCGGUGAAAUCAUAGUACCUGUGAAGAUGCAGGUUACCCGCGACAGGACGGAAAGACCCCGUGGAGCUUUACUGUAGCCUGAUAUUGAAAUUCGGCACAGCUUGUACAGGAUAGGUAGGAGCCUUUGAAACGUGAGCGCUAGCUUACGUGGAGGCGCUGGUGGGAUACUACCCUAGCUGUGUUGGCUUUCUAACCCGCACCACUUAUCGUGGUGGGAGACAGUGUCAGGCGGGCAGUUUGACUGGGGCGGUCGCCUCCUAAAAGGUAACGGAGGCGCUCAAAGGUUCCCUCAGAAUGGUUGGAAAUCAUUCAUAGAGUGUAAAGGCAUAAGGGAGCUUGACUGCGAGACCUACAAGUCGAGCAGGGUCGAAAGACGGACUUAGUGAUCCGGUGGUUCCGCAUGGAAGGGCCAUCGCUCAACGGAUAAAAGCUACCCCGGGGAUAACAGGCUUAUCUCCCCCAAGAGUUCACAUCGACGGGGAGGUUUGGCACCUCGAUGUCGGCUCAUCGCAUCCUGGGGCUGUAGUCGGUCCCAAGGGUUGGGCUGUUCGCCCAUUAAAGCGGUACGCGAGCUGGGUUCAGAACGUCGUGAGACAGUUCGGUCCCUAUCCGUCGUGGGCGUAGGAAAUUUGAGAGGAGCUGUCCUUAGUACGAGAGGACCGGGAUGGACAUACCUCUGGUGUACCAGUUGUCGUGCCAACGGCAUAGCUGGGUAGCUAUGUGUGGACGGGAUAAGUGCUGAAAGCAUCUAAGCAUGAAGCCCCCCUCAAGAUGAGAUUUCCCAACUUCGGUUAUAAGAUCCCUCAAAGAUGAUGAGGUUAAUAGGUUCGAGGUGGAAGCAUGGUGACAUGUGGAGCUGACGAAUACUAAUCGAUCGAAGACUUAAUCAA
RNAcentral lists this ribosomal RNA (1320 nucleotides) under Staphylococcus aureus. RNAcentral describes it as "partial 23S ribosomal RNA". It matches the Rfam family "Bacterial large subunit ribosomal RNA", at positions 1601 to 2925 of the family's 2925-position model. Lineage: Bacteria; Bacillati; Bacillota; Bacilli; Caryophanales; Staphylococcaceae. The record is from RNAcentral.